This 253-nucleotide ribosomal RNA is filed under the name uncultured bacterium. Its description in RNAcentral is "partial 16S ribosomal RNA". It matches the Rfam family "Bacterial small subunit ribosomal RNA", at positions 524 to 776 of the family's 1533-position model. The record is from RNAcentral.
UACAGAGGUGGCAAGCGUUGUUCGGAAUUACUGGGCGUAAAGAGCGCGUAGGCGGCUUGGUAAGUCGGAUGUGAAAUCCCGGGGCUCAACCCCGUGACUGCACCCGAAACUGCCCGGCUAGAGGUAGGUAGGGGAGAUCGGAAUUCCUGGUGUAGCGGUGAAAUGCGCAGAUAUCGGGAGGAACACCGGUGGCGAAGGCGGAUCUCUGGGCCUUACCUGACGCUCAGGCGCGAAAGCUAGGGGAGCAAACAGG